This 253-nucleotide ribosomal RNA is filed under the name uncultured bacterium. RNAcentral's name for it is "partial 16S ribosomal RNA". It matches the Rfam family "Bacterial small subunit ribosomal RNA", at positions 524 to 776 of the family's 1533-position model. The record is from RNAcentral.
UACGUAGGGGGCAAGCGUUGUCCGGAAUCAUUGGGCGUAAAGCGCGUGUAGGCGGCCCGGUAAGUCCGCUGUGAAAGUCGGGGGCUCAACCCUCGAAUGCCGGUGGAUACUGUCGGGCUAGAGUGCGGAAGAGGCGAGUGGAACUCCUGGUGUAGCGGUGAAAUGCGCAGAUAUCAGGAGGAACACCAAUUGCGAAGGCAGCUCGCUGGGACGUGACUGACGCUGAGACGCGAAAGCGUGGGGAGCAAACAGG